AGGUGAUGUCUCCUUACCUUUAUCAAUGGAGGCACUCGGUUGCACUGUGGGUAGGGAGAUAUUUCUACCUUAGAUACGAGGAGUUAUCAUGGGUGUAUUGUGAGGUGGGGUUUGAUGCCCC
RNAcentral lists this non-coding RNA (121 nucleotides) under Bacillus sp. THAF10. Its description in RNAcentral is "epsC RNA". It matches the Rfam family "epsC RNA". Lineage: Bacteria; Bacillati; Bacillota; Bacilli; Caryophanales; Bacillaceae. The record is from RNAcentral.